GACGAACGCUGGCGGCGUGCUUAACACAUGCAAGUCGAACGGAAAGGCCUCUUUCGGGGGGUACUCGAGUGGCGAACGGGUGAGUAACACGUGAGUAACCUGCCCUUGACUUUGGGAUAACUUCAGGAAAAUGGGGCUAAUACCGGAUAGGAGCUCCUGCUGCAUGGUGGGGGUUGGAAAGUUUCGGCGGUUGGGGAUGGACUCGCGGCUUAUCAGCUUGUUGGUGGGGUAGUGGCUUACCAAGGCUUUGACGGGUAGCCGGCCUGAGAGGGUGACCGGCCACAUUGGGACUGAGAUACGGCCCAGACUCCUACGGGAGGCAGCAGUGGGGAAUAUUGCACAAUGGGUGGAAGCCUGAUGCAGCAACGCCGUGUGCGGGAUGACGGCCUUCGGGUUGUAAACCGCUUUCGCUCAUGACGAAGCUUUGUGUGACGGUAGUGGGUAAAGAAGCACCGGCUAACUACGUG
RNAcentral lists this ribosomal RNA (467 nucleotides) under uncultured bacterium. RNAcentral describes it as "partial 16S ribosomal RNA". It matches the Rfam family "Bacterial small subunit ribosomal RNA", at positions 28 to 507 of the family's 1533-position model. The record is from RNAcentral.